RNAcentral lists this ribosomal RNA (433 nucleotides) under uncultured Clostridium sp. Its description in RNAcentral is "partial 16S ribosomal RNA". It matches the Rfam family "Bacterial small subunit ribosomal RNA", at positions 341 to 792 of the family's 1533-position model. The record is from RNAcentral. Lineage: Bacteria; Bacillati; Bacillota; Clostridia; Eubacteriales; Clostridiaceae.
ACGGAAGGCAGCAGUGGGGGAUAUUGCGCAAUGGGGGAAACCCUGACGCAGCAACGCCGCGUGUGGGAAGAAGGUCUUCGGAUUGUAAACCACUGUCUUCGGUGACGAUAAUGACGGUAGCCGAGGAGGAAGCUCCGGCUAACUACGUGCCAGCAGCCGCGGUAAUACGUAGGGAGCGAGCGUUAUCCGGAUUUACUGGGUGUAAAGGGUGCGUAGGCGGGACUGUAAGUCAGGCGUGAAAUCUAUCGGCUUAACCGGUAAACUGCGCUUGAAACUAUGGUUCUUGAGUGAAGUAGAGGUAAGCGGAAUUCCCGGUGUAGCGGUGGAUGCGUAGAUACCGGGAGGAACACCAGUGGCGAAGGCGGCUUACUGGGCUUUUACUGACGCUGAGGUACGAAAGCGUGGGGAGCAAACAGGAUUAGAUACCCUGGUA